AUAGUUCUAAUGACUAGGAAGUCCAAGAUGAAGGUGCCAGCAUUUUAAGUUGUUUAAUAAGGACUGCACAUUCCAGAGAGAAGAAAAGCUGUGUUCUCACAAGGCAAAAGGUGGAAGGGCAAGCUAGCUGAGCACUGCACAAAGCCUCUUUUAUUAGCGCCUUAAUUCCAUUCCUGGGGCAGGAGACCUCAUGGCCUAAUCAGUUCUUAAAGGCCCCACCUCAGCACAUCACAAUUGGUAACAUCUGAAUUUUGGAGAGAACCCAUUCAAACCACAGCAGUCCAAUAGUUCCAGAAAUCCUUGUGAACAUUACAACAUAGGUCCAAGUCUUUUGAACUUUUUAAGUCUGAAUCUUCCUAUCUACAAUAUGGGAAUAAUACUCAUUGGAGAUUAUGAAAUGAAAAGCACUUUUGGAAAAAAGACCUCUGAGAAUUCUUUUCUUCACGAAUAA
RNAcentral lists this long non-coding RNA (451 nucleotides) under Callithrix jacchus (white-tufted-ear marmoset). RNAcentral's name for it is "lncRNA (ENSCJAG00000068993.2)". The record is from RNAcentral. Lineage: Eukaryota; Metazoa; Chordata; Mammalia; Primates; Cebidae.